AGCUUCGAAGCUCAGCCGGUGGAGCACUUACCACAUUGAGGUAUACCGUUUCUGUCGCUGGUUCAAAUCCAGCCGAAGCCC
This 81-nucleotide transfer RNA is filed under the name Paragonimus westermani. Its description in RNAcentral is "tRNA-Asn". It matches the Rfam family "tRNA". Rfam says of the family: Transfer RNA (tRNA) molecules are approximately 80 nucleotides in length. Their secondary structure includes four short double-helical elements and three loops (D, anti-codon, and T loops). Lineage: Eukaryota; Metazoa; Platyhelminthes; Trematoda; Plagiorchiida; Troglotrematidae. The record is from RNAcentral.